Long non-coding RNA from Alligator mississippiensis (American alligator), 2080 nucleotides. RefSeq lists it as uncharacterized. NCBI's taxonomy places the organism in Eukaryota, Metazoa, Chordata, Crocodylia, Alligatoridae. The transcript has 6 exons. The record is from RefSeq and is a predicted model, not a curated record.
AUUCAGGAUCUGGCUAUUUGAGAUCUUGAUGAAAGGUCUCCAAGCAAGAGAGGCUCGAGGAGCAUGGAUGAUGAGACCUAUCAUUUUGCCAGGAUAGCUUGUGAGGAUCUGCUUUGUAUUGGGUAGGGACUGAGCCAGAGGGCCCAGAAAUGUAGGCUCUUGAGAGAGCGAAGCCUCUACCUUCUUGCCCUAGUGACAGUGAUUCAGACGGAUGUGAAGGGUCUGUGCUAGCUUCAUCCAUACGCUGACGGGUAAGUGCUUCUGUUGGGGAGGUUUUUUCAUUGCUCUAAUCUUGCCUGAAUUGGUUUAAUCUGCUCAGCAGCUUGAGAAACCCACUACAGCGUUUUGCUCUGUAGGUGGCACUGCCCACUUGCACUUUGAAGAGAGGUAAAGGUGCAAUUAAGCUUAACUGCUAGGGUGAGGUCUGAAGAGUUGCAAUGCUCUCUCUCUCUUUCUUCCUCCUCUCUUUUUGCUCUUUCUGUGGCCUAGGGAUUGUGGGGUUUUUUACACUCCUAGGAACACGCUAAAAUGGAGGCCCUGGAUAUGCUUCCCUGCACCUCCCAUCACAGCAAUUGGCCUAAUAAUUGAAGUCGGCUGUGGUUGGGUGUUGUGUAACAGUCCUGGUUUUCUCAAGUGAACUGCAGAGGUUUCAGCUGGAGCUUAAAGAGCAAAAUGCACUAUGAAAAGGAAGCAUGUGGCUGGCUGAAGCCUGCAACGCUGUGCACCAAGCCGCGCUCUGCAUUUCUGCAGACAUCUGCACGCAGAAAAUAGGAUGAACCGUUCCCCAGAUGCGAGAACCUGGCCUGCUUGCAAGUAUUUAGCAUCUAACCAGAUGAAGACUUGAAGCAAUUGGAAGCCUCCUCUGGCAUGAAUUGCUUUAGGAGCCUCAUGCUUGCUUGCUGCUUGCCUGCCAGGCGCUGUGGAUAGAACGAGUUAGCUCAUCGGCGGAGGCCAUCUGUCUUCCUGGGGCCUGAGGCUGCCUGCCUCCCGCCAUGUGGCGUUCUGCUUCUCAUCUCCCCGGGGCUGCUUUCAAGCCAUGUCCGGACUGAAUGGGAUUGCGUCUGUACCUGUUCCCCUGGUGUAAGCCAACUGCACGAGGCAAGAGGAGAUGGAGAGUUUGGGACGUGAGGUUUGCGCUGCGGCAGGUGAAUGGGGGCACGAGACGGAGCAGACCCCAUCUGUGGAGCCGAUCAAGGAGUAGCACCAGGCAAAGCUGCAUCGAGCUGAGAAAACCAAGAUCAUGGCGGAGUAUCCCGCCAGCAGUUAAACCCCAGAGAAGAAAGCUGGGAGCAGGAUGUGACCAGGGGGUGAACCGGGCUUCAGCCAAGAGGCUGGCUGCGCCCUGGCAGCGUGGCACAGACGGGUCCAAGAACCAGUCCCCUGCCAGCGUCCGCGUUCAAGCCCGAACCCCGCGUGGAAGAGCCCGCAGCUUUCCAGAUCAAUUCCUGCCGGUUUCCAAAGAACACGCUGGAUGCCGGCGAGGGAGGAGACAGCUGACAAGGACCUGGCAGGCCUCAGACGCCUGCAGAAUAAACACGGCGUUCUUUCCCCGUGGGAUCUAGCUGGGCUGCGGCUUACAUGCAAACAGAGAGGUAAUGGCCCCAGGCAGCUCUAAUCCCCAGAGGAUUACCCCAGGGACUUGGCAGCGGAGUCAUUCAGCAGGGAGCACGCAUCUCCCCGGCUUGACUCCUGCAGAGCGCCGAGGCUGCGGGAGGAGCGGGCAGGACCGUCUCGGACAGACCUGGACAACGUGUCAGGGAUGCUGCUGGUUGUCGGCCCCCGGACCGAACACCGCUGAGCCUCCAUCGCUGAGCACGGCCGGUGCCACCGGGUCUCCAGUGACGGUGUGAUGGAGGGGGAAGUCCAGGUGUUAACGAGGCUCUCUUCUUUGCACUGAUCCGGAUGUUCCUCCAAGCAAGCUGCCCUUUGUUCUGCUGUCUGGGAAAGCUCUUAUUUCACAGCCCUGCAGAUUGUUUUUAACUCCUUCCAAUGAAAUUAUAUUUGUUUUUCUUCAGUCUUAAACUGAAUAACACAGCCCCAGGGCCCUGGCCUAUUAAUAAAGCUUCCAGUUUCUUCUUCA